Labeo rohita (rohu) is the source of this 1067-nucleotide long non-coding RNA. RefSeq lists it as uncharacterized. The transcript has 2 exons. Lineage: Eukaryota; Metazoa; Chordata; Actinopteri; Cypriniformes; Cyprinidae. The record is from RefSeq and is a predicted model, not a curated record.
GAUGUACAAUUGUUGUCAUUUUAACUCACGUGUAGUGUGUUUUGAUGGUCAUUUAUCUUCAUGGUUGUGAUCUUGAUAAAAGCGUUACUUUACUGCUCAACAGGUUUAUUCACUUAAGUGUACUUUGAACAUCAUCUGUAAAGGUUCACGCAGUGUGUGCUUUUAGCACUAGUCUUCUGGACAGACAAGCUGCAGUCUUGUGAUACAAUUCAAUAAAAAAGGACACGAAUACGAAUAUAUGAUUGUGGAUAUGGAGAAAAAAUAUCCAGGAGUUGGUCGUUGCAAAUGUGCAUUUUGGUUUGCUGUUUUUCAUGACAUUUUUGGACUUUUUGUCCUUCUUGCUGGUGUAUUUUGGGACAUCUUUUUCCAUGACUUUUUAAUUUACGCUGGAGCUGUGAUUAUUUUCCUAAGUCUUAUCUGGUGGGUGUUCUGGUACACUGGUAAUAUUGAAGUGCCUCCUGAAGAGCUGGUGGACGACAUUGCUCAAUACAAACGCACUAAAGGAAUUUCAGGCGUUAUGCGUAAAGUCUCCAGCAGUCUCUCUAACGGACUGAGGAAUUCCUUUAGGAGAAGUGGAAGGUUCAACACUCAGGCUGAAGGCUCUCAGGCAAGCCGCAAUGCCAGAUCAGAUCAACCUAUUUCCAUUGCCAUGAGCUCCUAUAUAAAUGCACAACCGCCUGGGACGACCAACAACCUGAACCGAGAUCCUUUAGUGAUUUAACCUACAGUGCUUUGCGGAGAGACCCUCCUCUUCACAUCGGCAUUCAUGCUGCCUAGAAAUGCUUUGCCUUUUAAAGUGCUUUAUAGAUCUUUAAGAUCAUCAGUGUUUUCGGCUACAUUUCUGUGUAAUUGUUUAUAUUUAAAUAGCUUUAAAUAUUGUUUUUUUAAUCCAAUUUAACGAAAUGUAUUUGUAUUAUUUAACAUAAUGUGAUAAUAUUAUUACAGAAUAAACUAAUAUGUUGUCCCUCUCUACCUAAUAAGCAGUGCUUACUUUUAUGUGUUUACAACAGUAUCAGGAAAAUAUUGUCUUAUGUACAAACUUGCAAUUAAAAUAAUUUUAAAACAUA